This 431-nucleotide ribosomal RNA is filed under the name uncultured bacterium. RNAcentral's name for it is "partial 16S ribosomal RNA". It matches the Rfam family "Bacterial small subunit ribosomal RNA", at positions 29 to 507 of the family's 1533-position model. The record is from RNAcentral.
AACGAACGCUGGCGGCAGGCUUAACACAUGCAAGUCGAGCGCCUCGCCAGAGGAGCGGCAGACGGGUGAGUAACGCGUGGGAACGUACCCUUAUCUUCGGAAUAGCUCUGGGAAACUGGAAGUAAUACCGAAUGUGCCCUUAGGGGGAAAGAUUUAUCGGAUAAGGAUCGGCCCGCGUUGGAUUAGCUAGUUGGUGGGGUAAAGGCCUACCAAGGCGACGAUCCAUAGCUGGUCUGAGAGGAUGAUCAGCCACAUUGGGACUGAGACACGGCCCAAACUCCUACGGGAGGCAACAGUGGGGAAUAUUGGACAAUGGGCGCAAGCCUGAUCCAGCCAUGCCGCGUGAGUGAUGAAGGCCUUAGGGUUGUAAAGCUCUUUCACCGGAGAAGAUAAUGACGGUAUCCGGAGAAGAAGCCCCGGCUAACUUCGUG